AAAUUACAUAACACUGGUUAAUUAGAAUUAGUGUCACCAUACAAAAACUGAAGAAAGUUGACAACACUACAACAGAGAUUUUUGUGUGAUCCCAUUGCUCCUUAAUUUAAUAAUGUAUCUAUGGAAACGCUAUCCCACUACAACAGUCCAACAAAUGGCUAUAGCAUAGAGAUCCUCACAACUACCUUGUUUACUAAAUACUACAAAUUUCAUCAAAAAUUUUAUCUGAACUAGCUAACUUUGUCGUGAAUUUACGUUGCGCUGUUGCAUCAAGAUUUUUGUCUUGAAUACCAACUUCGUAGUCAUAAAGAAUCACGAGGAAGACACAGCAACCAACCUUCUGAUUUACAAUUUGUUCAACCUUCUAACCAAAGAGAUAAAUUAGGUGCCAAACUCAUUCAAGAUGCCUACAAAAAAUUCCCCUCUAUUCUGCCCCUCUCUCUCAAAAAAAAAAAAA
This 457-nucleotide unclassified non-coding RNA is filed under the name Hevea brasiliensis (rubber tree). Lineage: Eukaryota; Viridiplantae; Streptophyta; Magnoliopsida; Malpighiales; Euphorbiaceae. The record is from RNAcentral.